CCAACUCCUUAAUUCCUCAAGCUUUGAGAAUUUUAGAGAUUUAUACUGGAAUUUAGGGACUUAGCCAUGAAGUUUUAGAUGUAUUUACGCAUAUAAAGAGAGAUAACUGAAAAUCCACCCAAGGUUUGUGCUCCUCCUGUAUAGUACAGAGUUGUUUCUGAAAAGUUGUUUCCCAAUCAGGGCCCAGCUCUGGUGUGAUCCUGUGACUGAGUUCUGGCCAAUGGAGUGGGAGCAGAAAACAAUUCAUGCUACUUUCAGCCAUAAGAACUUCCUUUAGAACCUUCAUUUCUCUUCUUCAAGCUGACCUUGGGAGCGAAGUGUUGAAGAUGGCAGAGCCUCUAUCAUUCUAGAUCUUUGAAGGACUCCAUGGAGCACACUCCUAUUUCCUUCAACCCCCUCUUCUAUCACAUUGUGAUGGGGUAUUACAGGAGUGGGAAAUAAGUCUCUCUUCUGAAUUUCCAUAUGGAUUGCAGCCUUGACAUGGAAAAGUGAAAAUCAAUUUGGAUGCACAGCAGGCCCAGAGCAUAAGAAGUGACAUGGAGAACUGUAUCCUGGGGGAAGGGUGAGAGAAAGGAGAGUCUGCAUGUAAUGAGACCAGAAAUCAAAGGCGGAAUGAAUGAGCUGAAACCUCUGUGCACAAGAAGCCCAGCAGAGUAGCUAAAGAUGGAGGAAUCUGUAGUCACCUUUGACUCCCAGGCCACACUGGGCUUCCAUAAUGC
RNAcentral lists this long non-coding RNA (719 nucleotides) under Pan troglodytes (chimpanzee). Its description in RNAcentral is "long non-coding RNA NONPTRT014646". Lineage: Eukaryota; Metazoa; Chordata; Mammalia; Primates; Hominidae. The record is from RNAcentral.